This 514-nucleotide ribosomal RNA is filed under the name uncultured bacterium. RNAcentral's name for it is "partial 16S ribosomal RNA". It matches the Rfam family "Bacterial small subunit ribosomal RNA", at positions 28 to 523 of the family's 1533-position model. The record is from RNAcentral.
GAUGAACGCUGGCGGCGUGCCUAAUACAUGCAAGUCGAGCGAACAGAUGAGAAGCUUGCUUCUCUGAUGUUAGCGGCGGACGGGUGAGUAACACGUGGGUAACCUACCUAUAAGACUGGGAUAACUCCGGGAAACCGGGGCUAAUACCGGAUAAUAUUUUGAACCGCAUGGUUCAAUAGUGAAAGACGGUUUCGGCUGUCACUUAUAGAUGGACCCGCGCCGUAUUAGCUAGUUGGUAAGGUAACGGCUUACCAAGGCGACGAUACGUAGCCGACCUGAGAGGGUGAUCGGCCACACUGGAACUGAGACACGGUCCAGACUCCUACGGGAGGCAGCAGUAGGGAAUCUUCCGCAAUGGGCGAAAACCUGACGGAGCAACGCCGCGUGAGUGAUGAAGGUCUUCGGAUCGUAAAACUCUGUUGUUAGGGAAGAACAAAUUUGUUAGUAACUGAACAAGUCUUGACGGUACCUAACCAGAAAGCCACGGCUAACUACGUGCCAGCAGCCGCCGUAA